CUACGGAGGGUGCAAACGUUGUUCGGAAUUACUGGGCGUAAAGCGCGCGUAGGCGGUUUGUUAAGUCAGAUGUGAAAGCCCAAGGCUCAACCUUGGACGUGCAUUUGAAACUGGCAGACUUGAGUACUGGAGGGGAUGGUGGAAUUCCCGGUGUAGAGGUGAAAUUCGUAGAUAUCGGGAGGAAUACCGGUGGCGAAGGCGACCAUCUGGCCAGAUACUGACGCUGAGGUGCGAAAGCAUGGGGAGCAAACAGGAUUAGAAACCCUAGUAGUCC
This 274-nucleotide ribosomal RNA is filed under the name uncultured bacterium. RNAcentral's name for it is "partial 16S ribosomal RNA". It matches the Rfam family "Bacterial small subunit ribosomal RNA", at positions 523 to 796 of the family's 1533-position model. The record is from RNAcentral.